Molecule: long non-coding RNA, 601 nt
Organism: Oncorhynchus tshawytscha (Chinook salmon)
Lineage: Eukaryota; Metazoa; Chordata; Actinopteri; Salmoniformes; Salmonidae
Source: Ensembl
CACUCUCAGAGAAAUCAGUAGUACUGCUAGGUUUUACACAGGAAAAUGUAACAAAUAACUACAUUUUUAAUAAGGAAAAGUACAAAUUAUACAUUUGUGACAUCAAUAUUGAAAUGUUUAACAAAUAAUAAUGAUGAAAUAGAACAGUAAAACAUUUCCAUUUGACAUUUUAGUAAUUUAGCAGACGGUCUUAUCCAGAGCGACUUACAGUUCGUGAAUUCAUCUUAAGAUAGCUAGGUGGGACAAACCACAUAUCACAGUAGUUAGUAUGUUCAGAUAGCUAGGUGAGAUAACCACAUAUCACAAUAGUUAGUAUAUUCAGAUAGCUAGGUGAGACAACCACAUAUCACAGUAGUUAGUAUAUUCAGAUAGCUAGGUGAGACAAACCACAUAUCACAGUCAAAUAUACAGAAUACCAUUCCAGUUAAACAUUCCAAACACUGUGUUCACAAAACAUUAAAAACACCUGCUCUUUCCUGGACAUAGAUUGAUCAGGUGAAAGCUAUGAUUCCCUUAUUGACGCGCACAGUUUUGUGUCAAGAACUACAACGCUGCUGGGUUUUUCCACACUCAACAGUUUCCCGUGUUGUAUCAAUAACGG